This 97-nucleotide microRNA precursor is filed under the name Macaca nemestrina (pig-tailed macaque). RNAcentral's name for it is "miRNA (ENSMNEG00000021826.1)". Lineage: Eukaryota; Metazoa; Chordata; Mammalia; Primates; Cercopithecidae. RNAcentral also lists the same sequence under 1 other name. The record is from RNAcentral.
AGGUGGGAGGAUUGCUUGAGCCUGGGAGGUGGAGGUUGCAGUGAUCCAAGAUCAUGCCACUGCACUCCAGCCUGGGCAACAGAGCAAGACCUUGUCU